GAGUUUGAUCCUGGCUCAGGAUAAACGCUGGCGGCGUGCAUGAGACAUGCAAGUCGAACGGACACAUGGGGCUUGCUCCGUGUGUUAGUGGCGGACGGCUGAGUAACGCGUAGGUGACCUGCCCCGAAGUGGGGGAUAACUGCCCGAAAGGGUGGCUAAUACCGCAUGUGGUGGUUCGUUCGUUCGAACCAUCAAAGCAGCAAUGCGCUUCGGGAGGGGCCUGCGUCCGAUUAGCUCGUUGGUGGGGUAACGGCUCACCAAGGCGACGAUCGGUAGGUGGUCUGAGAGGACGAUCACCCAGACUGGGACUGAGACACGGCCCAGACUCCUACGGGAGGCAGCAGUCGGGAAUUUUGCGCAAUGGACGAAAGUCUGACGCAGCAACGCCGCGUGAGGGAUGAAGGCCUUCGGGUUGUAAACCGUCUUUUCUCUAGGACGAUAAUGACGGUACCUGAGGAAUAAGCCACGGCUAACUACGUAGCCAGCAGCCGCGGU
Molecule: ribosomal RNA, 495 nt
Filed under: uncultured bacterium
Lineage: Bacteria
Description: bacterial SSU rRNA
Rfam family: Bacterial small subunit ribosomal RNA
Source: RNAcentral